Molecule: non-coding RNA, 1469 nt
Organism: Pocillopora verrucosa
Lineage: Eukaryota; Metazoa; Cnidaria; Anthozoa; Scleractinia; Pocilloporidae
Source: RefSeq, a predicted model, not a curated record
CUAUCAAUGUAACCAACAAAAUUCAGCAUGGUUUUAGUUGUGAAGGUCCAGUGAACCACUAUGGAUCUCCAAUAACUGGCAGAGAAGGAACUUUUCGAUUGCCUAGAAGAGUUACGUGCCUAUGCGGACAGAGGGAGGAUGGACGGGGAGGAGGCUUGAUCAAAGUUGAUGAGCACCUCAGGGAUACCUGCUUCUUACACUUCUCAUGGAAACAAGUAUUUUCAAAAAAGAUUUUGAUUGGCGCGGUGGAACUGUGGCGCCUCCAGUAAACGAAAGUAAACACUACGAACUGGAUUCAAUCGAAGAUGUUGACGGUAUGUUUUUGGCGGGAUUUUCGAGCUACAUUGUACAUGGCCUGUAGGAUUUCAUGAUUUGCCAGUUGCCCCUAGAGGAGUAUAGAUAGUUGCAUUUACUUAAUCAAAAUGGAACUACGUGCAGAUCUCAACUACCAAAGCAGAACACCUCAGGCUGGUUGCAUCCAUGGGCUGUCGAGGAAAGGAAAGCCUUCUGUGGAUGUAAAGAUAUUUCGUUGCUCUUUGUUAGUGAGGGAAGCUAAUUGGAAUGAGUCUAAUGAAAGUGGAGUGAAACACUGGAGCCGAAUGAUUGUUAACUUCAGAGGAACGCAGCAUGGGGACCUGGUCAACUUAAACCUAACACCUUGAGACUGUAAGAGGGAAAUGUGUAGCAGCUAGAGGGGAGAAUUGACAAUCAGAUCUUGGGAGUUAACCAUGAGGUUGUUAAGAUCUCUGAACUGCUCUAAGGAAAGGCCAAGGAACCUUUGUGCCGCUGUUCGGAUACAGUCUUUGGAUUUCAUUUGGGCAAAUUCUAUGUUACAGUAGGAACGUGUGUCGAAGUCUUGUCUGGAUGUUGCUUGAGUGAAGUAUUCCUGAGCUGGUCAUAUCAAUCGCAUAUUUUGGGAAAUGUGUAGCAGCUAGAGGGGAGAAUUGACAAUUACAUCUUGGGAGUUAACCAUGAGAUUGUUAAGGUAUGCCUUACCAAGUUAUUGAUGUAAUUGAGACCAUUUGCAAGAAAAGGAAAGACAAAACUGAUGAGUGGAAAUGGAAAAAAAAAUGCAUUCUCCAAGGUGAAAAGAAACACAUUUUGCAUAAGCUCAAGCCACAUUGAACAGUAAGCUAUAUGCAUGCAAAUGAGUCAAAGUUCCGUGUAUUCACUCUGUUAUCAAAUCACGAUGGCUAUGCCAUCGAAGGUUCUAAAUUUCCAAACUUCCACUCAAUUAUCGCGAUAAUUUAAAUUAUUUCAGCUUAUAAACUUGUCUAUACACGUGAUGAGGUCUUUUGACGUCUUUCGAUGUUUUUGAUACGUUAACCGCACACCAGCUUCUCUCAAGAGAAAAUAUUGAAUCUCAGAAUAGAGUUUGUAUUUGAAACGUAACCUCCCCAAAGCGUUUUGAAAUUCUUGCCAUUUCCCUCUACCGUGCAGAGGAUAUAAAAUAUGGAUUAUUAAAACCA